AUGCUGCGUUGGAAGGGAAACUUUUGCUUAAAAUAUGAAUAUGUUCGUUUGAGAACAGGAUUCAAGAACAGUAUGUACACAGUCCCUAGAGGCAGUUUACUGCAACCUUACAGUGGAAUGCUGAUUGGCGAUGGCUGGAAAACUGAUCUUGGGGAACAUCAAUUAGGAUCCACCCCCUAUGCUUCAGCAUCUCUCCUCCCUUUCAAUUUUUUUAAACUCUCAUUUUGCACAUGGAUACACAUUUCUUAGGAUGAGGCUUGGAAGAUGGAUGAAUAGUUUCCCAAACAAGCACCCUUCAUGGUGAUAGACAUAGCUGCAGGCUGGGAUGUGAAUGUCAGUCUAACAGGUCAAAGGCAUGCAUUUUGGGAAUGGUGGAAGCAUAUGUUGGAACCAGAACUUGGAAAAAUUACUUUAUGAUCUAUAACACACAACAUUCUCUAUUCGUGAUGGGGGGCUGGGAAAUUUAGAGAGCUUUAACUGUAACACACAGUCUGUUGUAGCAAUAUAUUAUACCCCUUUUCAGAGCCAAAUUUGACAAAUUUCAUCUUCAAAACUACUCUGUGUCCCAGUUGUCCCUCCACAAUAGCAAUUUUGACUUUAGCAGUUUUCUUUAUUCACAGAUUAGAUUAAAAGUGCUUUCUCUAGGAAUCUCUUGGUCCUAGAGUGUGACUCUAUAGUCAAGUCUUCCAGUCAUGCUGGCGGACUAUGAGAUUUCUUGAGAGAACACCUCUAGGAAUUUCUAGGUCCUCAAAGGCAAUUAUAUGGCCAGCUUUCAGUGGAAGUCAGCCAUAGACUCUUGCUGGAAGACCUAAAAAUCCCUAGAAAGGUGUCCAUUCAGUAAGAAAAUUGUGAUUUCUUUUAUUCAGUUUUUACUUUCACUGGGGCCCUGUGCCCCUAACUCCAGGGAACAUGCAGGGCUGACUGUAUUCAUUGCUCCUACUGAUUCUCAAUAAAAGUGAUCUAAAUGUUACAUUCAGUUAUCAAAAUUCUUUUGAGAUGUUGGAUUUGGCUAAAUGCCAACAUAGAUGUGAGGCAUUUGUUGUGUUGUGGCAGAGGCGAAGCUAUGAUUAUCUUCUUCCAGUUUUAAAGAUACUUUGGAAAGCAAAUAAGAACAGACCUAGUUUUUGCUAUUUAUUUCAGGCAGUUAGGAGUAACCUUCUGUGCCUACAGAUUUCUUUCAAUAGUAUAUGAGAUUGGAAGUUUUCUCAUUUUUCUUUAUUUGACUUCCCCUUGUUACACUUUCGACACAAAUUGCUACCCACUGAGUAUCAACAAAAUAUAGUUCUCCAGAUGAACAAUGUUGUUAAUACCAUGUACCUUAAAAUACCAUCCCCCAAAUGUUUAGAAAGGAAACAAGAAGGUGAAUAAAGAAUUAAAGGGAAGGAAACAAGAAUACUGAAUUUCUGGGAUAUUUCUAAUACAAGCAUCACAUAGUUCUAGCAUCCUUCCAGGUGCCCACAUGGUUAGAAUGAGAGAACAGUCACAUUCAUCUUAUCUCAUUUCUAAGUCUGAAGAACUUUGCUAAAUCUUUUGAAUGUGACCUUCUUUCCAUAUUUUCUAUAGAAUAUUAUUUUGUAUGAAUCUUUAGCAAGUCCUGUUCCCACUGGAUAGUAUUUGGGACAGCAUGGUUCUGUAAUAUUCUGUUCUUGGCUGUUACAAGGAUUGUGAUUAUACAAUCACAGUUAUAAAUAUGCAUAAGUGGCUGGAUAACCUAUUGAACCUGUAAAUUGUAAAUUCUGUUGUCUUGCAGUUAAGAAUGAAACACAGAAAUUGGCAGACUUCUGGUCUUUUAGGGACCAUGUUUUGUUUUUGCUGCGUGCUUGAGUUUUGUAUCUGUGUCCUGCAUGCUGUUUCAGUAUUGUGAAUGUCUCUUUUUUAUACUAGAUAGGUUUUCUUUUCAUUAUUUUUAUCUAUGUUGCAAUUUAUACUUUCAAUAUCCAUUGGUCAGACUGGGGAAAAUUACAUUUAAUUUUCCAUCAAUCUUGCAUCCAAUCCUCCAACCCUUUUCUGUUCACCAUGAGACACAAGUUCUUCAUCUAGUGAAUGAUAAACAGCUAAAGCAUGUAAUGGUACACAUAAAUCCUUUUUAGAGUGAGUCUUUUAUUAUUUAUUAGAUAUAAUAUAAUGUGUGUCAUUGGAAAGGCAAGCUCUAUAUGCAUGUUUAUCCCUUACCUUAUCAUGAUAAAAACAUUAUUCUUAAAUCUGUUAAAACUACUGUAAUUUGCUGCCUGUGUGAAAAUUUGUCCUUAGUAUGGACUGACACUCUUCUAUCUCCAGAAUAAUUUCUUUACUCUCAUAAAUAUAAUACUGAAAUUUAGCAAGCUUCAUUUCCACAUUUUUCUUACAUAGUUUUGUUUUCCCCUCCAUCUGCUCGAACAUUUCUCUGUAUCUGCGGAGGAUGUAGUCUUUCUCCUUUUGUCCUUGGCUGAUGGAAUCAUUAGCAGAUAGAAGCUGCUUUAUUCAGUGAUUAAGGCAAAAUUUUAGGGAGCCCUGAUGCUAGAUGCUAUUAUUUUGGUUGCCAUUGUCCUACAGUAUGACAUUUGCUCUGAUUCUGACAUAGUUGGUACUUAUGUACCCUAAACACAUAUAUUUGAAACUAGACAAAUGUGGUUCUUCAGACAUUUCCGACUACAACUCCCUUAAUUUUUACCAUAGGCUUUGCUGGCCAAGGCUGCCAGGGUUUUAAGCUAAAACCAACUGAACCAAAUUUGCCCAAUUCCGUUGUAAAGGGCGUACAUUAGGAAUUAGGCAUUUGUAUUUCAAAAAAAAAAUCUAGCUUCAUGCUAGUAACAAAACCAACAUUUGCAAAAAUCUUGUGUUUACUAUGUAGACAAAGUUAGUUCAGUUAUGUUCUGAAAUGAAUUAUUUGCAAUAUCAUAAGACUCCACACUAUUCCCUUGGAGCAUUUUCUGUAGAGAUCAAAUCGGUGAUGUAAUAUAGCUAUUGUUUAGUAAACAGAAAGUUCUGUCAUUCUGAAUCAGACCAUUGGGCAGUUUCCAGGAUUUUGAGUUGGAAUUUUUUUCCUAGUCUUUCUUAGUCUUCUUUCUUUUUCAGACUAAGUACUUACCUAUCCUGCUUAGCUUCUAAAUCAGAUGAGGUACUGGAUGCUGGUAGCCUCCAUUUCUUUCCCUGUCUUUUCCCCUGUCCCCUCUUGAAGGCUAUGCACAGUGGAACCUCAACUUAUGAGUAUCCCAAGUUGUGAGCUUUUUGAAUGUGAGCCAUCGCACAUCUGAUUUUUUUAUUUGACAUGUGAGCCAGAUCCGCGUUAUGUGCCUUCCCCUUUCCAAAAUGGCAGCUGCGCUGGGAGACUGAUUCAGGCCAAGCUUACAGAGAGGGAGGGAGGGAGCU
This is a long non-coding RNA of Anolis carolinensis (green anole), 3348 nucleotides long. Lineage: Eukaryota; Metazoa; Chordata; Lepidosauria; Squamata; Anolidae. The record is from Ensembl.